GGUUAAGCGACUAAGCGUACACGGUGGAUGCCCUGGCAGUCAGAGGCGAUGAAGGACGUGCUAAUCUGCGAUAAGCGCCGGUAAGGUGAUAUGAACCGUUAUAACCGGCGAUUUCCGAAUGGGGAAACCCAGUGUGACUCGUCACACUAUCAUUAACUGAAUCCAUAGGUUAAUGAGGCGAACCGGGGGAACUGAAACAUCUAAGUACCCCGAGGAAAAGAAAUCAACCGAGAUUCCCCCAGUAGCGGCGAGCGAACGGGGAGGAGCCCAGAGCCUGAAUCAGCAUGUGUGUUAGUGGAAGCGUCUGGAAAGGCGCGCGAUACAGGGUGACAGCCCCGUACACAAAAGCGCAUGUGCUGUGAGCUCGAUGAGUAGGGCGGGACACGUGGUAUCCUGUCUGAAUAUGGGGGGACCAUCCUCCAAGGCUAAAUACUCCUGACUGACCGAUAGUGAACCAGUACCGUGAGGGAAAGGCGAAAAGAACCCCGGCGAGGGGAGUGAAAAAGAACCUGAAACCGUGUACGUACAAGCAGUGGGAGCACCCUUCGGGGUGUGACUGCGUACCUUUUGUAUAAUGGGUCAGCGACUUAUAUUCUGUAGCAAGGUUAACCGUAUAGGGGAGCCGUAGGGAAACCGAGUCUUAAUUGGGCGUUAAGUUGCAGGGUAUAGACCCGAAACCCGGUGAUCUAGCCAUGGGCAGGUUGAAGGUUGGGUAACACUAACUGGAGGACCGAACCGACUAAUGUUGAAAAAUUAGCGGAUGACCUGUGGCUGGGGGUGAAAGGCCAAUCAAACCGGGAGAUAGCUGGUUCUCCCCGAAAGCUAUUUAGGUAGCGCCUCGUGAAUUCAUCUCCGGGGGUAGAGCACUGUUUCGGCUAGGGGGCCAUCCCGGCUUACCAACCCGAUGCAAACUGCGAAUACCGGAGAAUGUUAUCACGGGAGACACACGGCGGGUGCUAACGUCCGUCGUGAAGAGGGAAACAACCCAGACCGCCAGCUAAGGUCCCAAAGUCAUAGUUAAGUGGGAAACGAUGUGGGAAGGCCCAGACAGCCAGGAUGUUGGCUUAGAAGCAGCCAUCAUUUAAAGAAAGCGUAAUAGCUCACUGGUCGAGUCGGCCUGCGCGGAAGAUGUAACGGGGCUAAACUAUGCACCGAAGCUGCGGCAGCGACACUAUGUGUUGUUGGGUAGGGGAGCGUUCUGUAAGCCUGUGAAGGUGUGUCGUGAGGCAUGCUGGAGGUAUCAGAAGUGCGAAUGCUGACAUAAGUAACGAUAAAGCGGGUGAAAAGCCCGCUCGCCGGAAGACCAAGGGUUCCUGUCCAACGUUAAUCGGGGCAGGGUGAGUCGACCCCUAAGGCGAGGCCGAAAGGCGUAGUCGAUGGGAAACGGGUUAAUAUUCCCGUACUUGGUGUUACUGCGAAGGGGGGACGGAGAAGGCUAUGUUGGCCGGGCGACGGUUGUCCCGGUUUAAGCGUGUAGGUGUGUGUUCCAGGUAAAUCCGGUUCACUUUAACACUGAGGCGUGACGACGAGGCACUACGGUGCUGAAGCAACAAAUGCCCUGCUUCCAGGAAAAGCCUCUAAGCAUCAGGUAACAUCAAAUCGUACCCCAAACCGACACAGGUGGUCAGGUAGAGAAUACCAAGGCGCUUGAGAGAACUCGGGUGAAGGAACUAGGCAAAAUGGUGCCGUAACUUCGGGAGAAGGCACGCUGACACGUAGGUGAAGUGAUUUACUCAUGGAGCUGAAGUCAGUCGAAGAUACCAGCUGGCUGCAACUGUUUAUUAAAAACACAGCACUGUGCAAACACGAAAGUGGACGUAUACGGUGUGACGCCUGCCCGGUGCCGGAAGGUUAAUUGAUGGGGUCAGCGCAAGCGAAGCUCCUGAUCGAAGCCCCGGUAAACGGCGGCCGUAACUAUAACGGUCCUAAGGUAGCGAAAUUCCUUGUCGGGUAAGUUCCGACCUGCACGAAUGGCGUAAUGAUGGCCAGGCUGUCUCCACCCGAGACUCAGUGAAAUUGAACUCGCUGUGAAGAUGCAGUGUACCCGCGGCAAGACGGAAAGACCCCGUGAACCUUUACUAUAGCUUGACACUGAACAUUGAGCCUUGAUGUGUAGGAUAGGUGGGAGGCUUUGAAGCGUGGACGCCAGUCUGCAUGGAGCCGACCUUGAAAUACCACCCUUUAAUGUUUGAUGUUCUAACGUGGACCCGUGAUCCGGGUUGCGGACAGUGUCUGGUGGGUAGUUUGACUGGGGCGGUCUCCUCCUAAAGAGUAACGGAGGAGCACGAAGGUUGGCUAAUCCUGGUCGGACAUCAGGAGGUUAGUGCAAUGGCAUAAGCCAGCUUGACUGCGAGCGUGACGGCGCGAGCAGGUGCGAAAGCAGGUCAUAGUGAUCCGGUGGUUCUGAAUGGAAGGGCCAUCGCUCAACGGAUAAAAGGUACUCCGGGGAUAACAGGCUGAUACCGCCCAAGAGUUCAUAUCGACGGCGGUGUUUGGCACCUCGAUGUCGGCUCAUCACAUCCUGGGGCUGAAGUAGGUCCCAAGGGUAUGGCUGUUCGCCAUUUAAAGUGGUACGCGAGCUGGGUUUAGAACGUCGUGAGACAGUUCGGUCCCUAUCUGCCGUGGGCGCUGGAGAACUGAGGGGGGCUGCUCCUAGUACGAGAGGACCGGAGUGGACGCAUCACUGGUGUUCGGGUUGUCAUGCCAAUGGCACUGCCCGGUAGCUAAAUGCGGAAGAGAUAAGUGCUGAAAGCAUCUAAGCACGAAACUUGCCCCGAGAUGAGUUCUCCCUGAGACUUAAAGUCUCCUGAAGGAACGUUGAAGACGACGACGUUGAUAGGCCGGGUGUGUAAGCGCAGCGAUGCGUUGAGCUAACCGGUACUAAUGAACCGUGAGGCUUAACCUU
This 2905-nucleotide ribosomal RNA is filed under the name Salmonella enterica. Its description in RNAcentral is "23S ribosomal RNA". It matches the Rfam family "Bacterial large subunit ribosomal RNA". The record is from RNAcentral. Lineage: Bacteria; Pseudomonadati; Pseudomonadota; Gammaproteobacteria; Enterobacterales; Enterobacteriaceae.